GAUGAACGCUGGCGGCGUGCUUAACACAUGCAAGUCGAACGGAAAGGCCCAAGCUUGCUUGGGUACUCGAGUGGCGAACGGGUGAGUAACACGUGGGUGAUCUGCCCCGCACUUCGGGAUAAGCCUGGGAAACUGGGUCUAAUACCGGAUAGGACCACUUCUUGGAGGUUGUGGUGGGAAGUUUUUUCGGUGUGGGAUGAGCUCGCGGCCUAUCAGCUUGUUGGUGGGGUAAUGGCCUACCAAGGCGUCGACGGGUAGCCGGCCUGAGAGGGUGUACGGCCACAUUGGGACUGAGAUACGGCCCAGACUCCUACGGGAGGCAGCAGUGGGGAAUAUUGCACAAUGGGCGCAAGCCUGAUGCAGCGACGCCGCGUGGGGGAUGACGGCCUUCGGGUUGUAAACUCCUUUCGCUAGGGACGAAGCGCAAGUGACGGUACCUAGAGAAGAAGCACCGGCUAACUACGUG
This 466-nucleotide ribosomal RNA is filed under the name uncultured bacterium. RNAcentral describes it as "partial 16S ribosomal RNA". It matches the Rfam family "Bacterial small subunit ribosomal RNA", at positions 28 to 507 of the family's 1533-position model. The record is from RNAcentral.